AUGCUAGUGAAGCAAUCUCAAAGUUGAAGAAAUGUUAUUUCAGUGUCUUUUGGUGGUGUUGUUAAAGAGUUGUCUAUCUGAAACAAUUGUAAAAAAUGAUUCCGAUGGUUUUGGCUACGAAUUACUGAUAGCUAAAAUUGAUCACUUGGAAAACAGAUUCGUGGAGCUUUUAAAUGAAGUGAAAAGGGAACUGCUGGCAAACUCACCACAUCAAAAUAGCAACAUUCAAUGUCCUCAAAGUGCUUCUCCAGAGAAGAACGAGGUGAAGGAGGUUCCUUCGAUAACGUCGUGUGAACUUGAGCCAUCGAAAGUUUCCGGCCAAUAUUGGCUAGCGGUUCCGGAUAUGCCUGCAUUUGAGGUUUACUGUGAGCAGACUCUGCAGGGAGGGGGUUGGAUCGUGAUUCAGAAUCGAUUCGACGGAUCGGUGGAUUUCUACAGGAACUGGUCGGACUACAAGGAAGGCUUUUAGGCGGUUGGAUGGUGAAUUUUGGCUGGGACUUGAUAAGAUUAAUUUGUUAACCUCUCACAAAGCGCGAAAACUUCUGGUUCAUUUGGAAGACUUUUCCGGCAAUAAAAAGUUUGCCCUCUAUAGUGAAUUUGCCAUCGGCAGUGAAAGUGAGCAGUACGUUUUGAGCACCGUAGGUGGGCACAGUGGAACCUUGGUGGACUCGUUUGUUAAUCACAGGGGAAACAAGUUUACCACAAAAGACGUCGACAAUGAUAAAAACUCGAAAAAUUGCGCUUCUUGGUUCCACGGUGCCUGGUGGUACACGCCGGGAUGUUACACAAGCAACCUAAAUG
Molecule: long non-coding RNA, 801 nt
Organism: Culex quinquefasciatus (southern house mosquito)
Lineage: Eukaryota; Metazoa; Arthropoda; Insecta; Diptera; Culicidae
Exons: 4
Source: RefSeq, a predicted model, not a curated record